CCUUGUUCUAGAAUUAAUAGAUGACCUAAAGAUAGAAACAUAUUGUACUUAUACUAGGGUAGAAAAACUGGAAAAAAAAUACCCCUGUGGGUUCAGUGCGGGCCGCAUAAAAUAGAUCGCGGCCAUACUAGGCUCUUAGACUUCUAAUGUAGGCUCUCUGAACUUGGGCUCCGCGGACAUCGUAGAAAGGACCGCGGCGAUGGAGGUCUCUAAUGCGGUCCCCACAAAUUGUGACCACAGACCACGCAACUUAAACCAUGUCAAUUUUCACCUCUCUGAAUCUCUCUUCCGCGGACAGUACAUAAUGGUAGUGCUGUCGCGGAGCCUUCACCGCGGACCACGCAAUGUGUACUCGGUCGUGUUGCCUGAAGCCUGGCUUUGCCAUAUCUCUGAUUCUACCUAGUGCGGAACGCACAUUGUGUACCGCGCCCGCACUAGGCCCGUUUGCCUUCAGUUUGCCUUGUCUUUAAUACUUGAUCAUGUUUCACUCAUUUUGAGUCGCUCUUUGACAUUUCGUCAUUUUCUCGAUUAAACCUACAAUUAAUCACAUUUAUGAGCCUUUUGGGACUAUUUUGUAUUAAUUUAUAACCAAAGCGUAAGCAAGAAAGAGCAUAAAACAGGACAAAAUCCUAGUUAUCAAUAAUCACUAAUUUUAGCAUGAGCAGUACAUAAUCACAACAAUCACAGUAUAAGACGCACUUGCAUGCUCAACACCAACAUAUAGAUACUCGUCAUUACAUCUAUAUGUCAUACUCAACACAAACAUGUAGAAAAUAUGAUCACAACUCCUAUUCUCUCAAGAUAAGGUUAGACCAAAUACUUACCUCAAUUCCACGGCCAAAAUCAAGCAUCAAUUACAACUUUACCUCUUUGUCCCACUUCCAAUCCGCUUGAAUCUAGUCAUAAUUUACUUAAUAACAUCAAUAAACACUAAAUAAACCAAUACUAAUUCAUGAGUAUAGAUUUUCCAAUAUUUUCUCCAAAAAGUGAGAAACCGACCCAGGCCCGCUUGGUGAAAACUCGAAGUUCGAACCAAAAUCCUACUUUCCAUUCACUCACAAACCCAAAUAUGCAAUUGGUUUUGAAAUCUGACCUCAAUUUAAGGUCCAAAUCACUAAAUUUUGAAAUUCCUAUAUUUCUUAUCGUACCAUCAUGAGUAAAUGGGCCAAAAGGGUCGUCAUGAUAUAGUCAGAAUAAAACAUAACGGAAUACUUGACAUAGGACGACCCAACAUGAUAUAUAAACUUAUACAUGUGACAUACGAGCUUAUAAGGCCAAUAUGAUUAUUUAUAAACUAAAAAUAUAGGCCGACAAAUCUAUACAAGUAUCAAUGUACAUGACAUAUGUCUACAAGCCUCUAAGAGUACAUAAAUUUCAUACAAGUCGGGACAGGACUACGCUCUAACGAUCAACAUGUCCAAAUCAUACUGACCAAAUGGGCAACUCCAGAGCUAGUGGAGGGCAUCAACACCUUCCGUUGAGCUGAUUGCCUAUAAGGAGGAUCGUCAACCUCUCUAUGAAGACCGAUAGGGAUGAAACGCAGUUUCCCAAAGUAAAAUGGAUUUUAGUACAAAUAAAGUACCGAGUAUGCAAGGCAUGAAAGUAUUAUAUAAUUAUAUGAAAGAAACAUGGAGUAAUGAACUCAACCUGUAAGUUUGAAUUGCUCUGUAAAUCAUGAAACAUUUAUAAUGUCAUGCAUAUGCAUAUGCAUGUCUUGUCUUACAUAGGUAUACGCGUAUAUAACAUCAUCAAGCCUCAGAGGACAUCCCAUCAUAUUAUCUCGGCCACAUAACCUAUAUAUAUAUAGCAUACACAUAUAUGACUCCAUCAGGCCAUGUGUCAAUAUGCAUGUAGAAAUGAAUGCAAUGUAUAAUGAAGUAAGUCAAUAAUAUCUCUCGGAAUGUCAUAAGAUCAAUAUGCCUUCAGAUAAACUUUAUCAACUUAAUUAUUAUCUGAGACACAUGAACAAAUGAUAUAAUAAUAAAACACAUAGGGAAUCAAGAGCAUAUGUACCCGUAGUACUUCUAUGAAUAAAGUCAUUUAUAAAAGUUGCGUGUUUGCUCGUUUUGUUUGUAUUAUAUGGAUCAAAGGAAAAAAGGGAUAGCCUUGACAUAUCUUAACUAUGUUGAUUCCUUAAUACUUUCCAAACAAUUCUUUAAAUAACUCAACUCAAUCUACCAUAACAUAAGGAGAUUCAAAUCAGUGCUGAGUAAGGCUAAGUCUGCAACUUAAACUAGUAGCUUGUUUAUGUAAAUUUGGGUAGCAUUUUUCUUGUAAUAAGGACCUCCUCCAAUACCAUAUACCAACAAAAACAACCAGAGCAAUGCAAUCAGCAAUUAAAAACUACCUAACUACAAUUCAAGACCUUUAAUACAACAAAUCUCCAAAUAUACCAUAACACACCAAUCAACAUGUUAUCAAGUAUCCAGACGCGGCAACAACGAGCAACCAGCCUACUACCAUACCACAUGUGGCAUUUAUUCACGUCCUUUAUCCUUACAAACUCCAUAAACCAGUGGCACAAUAGGCCAACAUGAGUGGAUUACAAAACAGCCCACUAAAAGUGGAACAUAUCGAUCUCACGUCUUCCGAUAAUCGUCUCGUGAGUUCUAACUAUUAGGAAACAAAUUUAUCAAACUUCCUUGAUAUUGAAAAGCUUAAAUACAGAAAUUAGACAUUUUCUUAACUAUGAAAUGACACACCCCUUUUUUUCAAAAAACCUUCACUAAACCCAUUUAAAUUAAUUAAAAAGAUUUAGUAAAGCUUGAAAAAUAUUUUCAAUUAGAAUGUGAAAAAAAUUGUAUUCAAAAGGAAAUAACUCAGAGUCUCCACCUGACAUUUGAUUUUGGUGUAUCGGGUCACUAUUUUUCUAAAUAUAAUUUUUCCCUUUUAAAACACUUGGACUUCAAAACUAAGUCCACACCAGAGAUACGAGUAAGGGAGUUUAUUUGACUCCGGGAGAAGGCAUUAGGCACUCCCCAAGUCCCAUAACUAGUACGGUUGCGUACCCAAUCAAGUUGGCUUUUAGAAAAUUCGAGUUAAAGUAAAACAAACAUAUAAAAAUAAACACACGCGAGGCUCGAGGUCGUUCCCACCUAAUAAAAAGAAAAAUAAAGAUAAAAUUAAAAAUAAAAGACUGCAAGCUAUACUUUCGGCCUCCAACAACAAGUCCUCCGGGGCAUUCCACGGAAUAAAUAUAUACAAGUCCUUCGGGGCAUUCUUCGGAUAAAUUUAAGUAAGGGAACAACCUCUCACCUCGAAAAGAAGCUAAAACUAAAACAUCCUAAAGGUUUGCCUACCCAAAUAUGAUCUGCCUAAAACAUGUUACUAACGCUCAAAUGUAACAAAGGUAGAAAUAAAAUAAAACAAAAACUAAAAUAAAUAAAGAUUCAUUUUAUGCUCAUUUUUUGUUUAACUUUUUCAUUUUUCAUUAGACCAAGUCCAAUCCUAAAGCAUGUGAACAAAUUAAAUACUAACGAUCUAAGUCUUUUUCCUUUCCCAUGACCGACCUUGUUACUCUAAGUUUUGUAUUUCUUUUGCAAUAUACACUAACCCAUCCCCUUCUCUUUUUUUAAAAAUACCUUAACAUUCAAAUGAAAUGAGUGUAGUAGUUUAACAUAAAACAAAGAAGCAGAAACAUGAAACAUUUUAGGACAAACUCACGAUAAGCAAUAGAAACAUUUCACAUAGAAACAGAAACAUUUCACAUUUCCACAAAGAACUAACGAUAAGCAAUAUCAACACUACUAUAAAAAUAUCGGCUAAUAGAGUAGGAAGAGAAUGAACCUCAGGAGCAACAGAUCUUUGAAUCUGAAAAUGUUUAGGAUCAAAAAUUCGAAUUAGCACCGAAAAGCCCGAAACCAAAACCAGCCCAAUAACACACCAUCGGAUUCCAUGAUUCCAAAACUGAAAAUCAUACGAAGAAGCUCGCUAAACCAAGUUGUUCGACCUUCUGCUUAUGACUGUGUGUGCGUGUUUCUGGCAUGGUCGCCGGUUUCCGGCUAUCAAGAAAUGAAAACGGAGGGUUCCGGUGAGAUUUAUUUUGAAGGUGUGCGGUUCGUUUUGAAGGAUGGAAGAUAGAAGAAGAAGAAUUGGCAAUGAGGGUGGUCUCCAGCGAGCAGAUUGCGUCUUCAGGUAGAGUGACGGGGUCUUAAGUCGAUUGAGAGCGAGUAAGGGCUGUGGGAGGGUGGUUUGACCGGAAAUGGCUUCUGUCCGGCGGCUUGGAGAGGAGAUGGCAGCGGCGUUAUGUUAGGGGUCCUAUGUUUGUGUUUGCUUCAAUGUUAGAGCUGAAGAAGGGCAGUCAUGGAGUUUUGGUAAGUUGUAGGUUGAAGAAGAAGCAGUGGCUUCGGCGGCUUAGGGUGGUCCGGCGGUUGCAGUUGGUUUGGUUUCUAUGGAGUGACGGUUGAUGGUGUUCUAUUGUGUAUUAGGGUUCAAGCAGAAGGGAAGCUCCUAUGAUUUCUUUUAUUCCAAGUCUUCUCCAUUAUUGUCUCCUAAGGGUUUUCUUGUUGUAGGUUAAGGUGAAGAAGAAGAAGACUAGUCUUUCUAGGGUUUGGGCGUUUGGGUUAGUGAGUUAGGGGAAAUUUGGGCUAAAAAUUGGACCUUU
Molecule: long non-coding RNA, 4603 nt
Filed under: Nicotiana benthamiana
Lineage: Eukaryota; Viridiplantae; Streptophyta; Magnoliopsida; Solanales; Solanaceae
Description: long non-coding RNA (NBEN_LNC042331)
Source: RNAcentral